UUUCUGUCUGCCUCUCAUUGGCAAACAUGACAUUUCAGCAAUUUCUCUAAAGAGGAAUGACUGGGGGGUAUGUACAGCAGGCAUCAUGUAAGAAAAACUCACACCUCACGACAUAUUUGUUUGAUUUAUUCAGCAGACUUCAGCAAAGGAAAGAUGUGAAAGCAACCCUUGAUUGUUGAUUUUUUGUUCAUUCUGAAAAUCACAUCGCCAGAUCCAACACCUUUUUAUCCCAAUCACCAGUACAAGCCACCCGUAUCAGUGUACACUGUGGCUGACCGAUCCAUAGUGAUGCUUUGAGUUCUAUGAAGUGAACAGGCAUCCAACAAGGCUGAUGGCACAGAAGAUGGUCCUAAGACAGACAAGCAAACAAAACUUGCCUUCUCUGUGGAAGCACUUCCUGACUUCGCUUCCCCAACAACACAAGGAAGGACUUUCUGGAAUCUACUUAUCUGACCAAGAAAGCUUCUUUCCAAAAGAAAUGCAAUUGUCUUGAGACUUCUUCCCUAGGGAUCUGAUCAACUAACCAGAAAAGAGCAACCACCAGAGAAGAGACUGUGGGUGUCAUUGUGACUGGCUGCUACCUCCCCAUGAGUCUUCUAAAAUAAAACCUGCAAAUUCACAUCUUCCCCAUGCUUCCAGAGAAUGCAUAUUCUUCCUUUGAAAAAAGAAAACCAGGUAGUCGUACAGUGUCCAGAAGGCAAAAGGACAAGUAUGCACUGCCCUACUUACCUACUUUCCACACUGCUGCACAGGAAAAUCUGACAGAGGACAAUAACAAACAUCUCACCAGCUCAUGCGUUCUUUUUUGAUCCUAAUUCCGAGAGACUCACCAAAGACAUGAAGAGAAAACAAACAAUACUUUUCUUGGAAAUAUUGUAAUUGCUGGUACAUUUGUUGUUCUGGCAUAAAGUAGAAAUUGUCAGUUACCAGAACAAUACUCAGUGAACUUAUGAAUAUAUGGUAAAUAUUAAACACAUCCCACUUGGAUGAGAAGAUAUGUGAGUCGAUGAGUAUAGCUAAGUCUAAAGUUAGAUGUGUUCCAUAAACAUAGUGUUUAUGGAGUUGGUGCAUAUUCAC
Molecule: long non-coding RNA, 1077 nt
Filed under: Homo sapiens (human)
Lineage: Eukaryota; Metazoa; Chordata; Mammalia; Primates; Hominidae
Description: HSALNT0320924
Source: RNAcentral